UGUAACUCAAGCGAGACUGCAUUGUGAUCAGAGUAAGAAAACUGUUGUUCUGGAACUCUAUCUGGUAACGGAUUACCGAAAUUCACGACACGGGCCUGUAAGAGCAAAAAUAAAAUAUAUAAACUUCUUAUACUGUCUCUCUACAUAAGUGUGUGAAUAUUUUUAAUGUUAUAUAUAAAAAAAAUAUAAAUUAUUAAAAUGCUCACUGGGCUGUUUCUGCUAUAAUUUAUGUUAAUAUAACCGCUUUUUAAUGUUGCUAGUUUGACGAAAUUGUAGCUCAUCUGACGGUCAAUGAUCAACGUCACCACGCACGUCAUCAAUGCCAAUGCCUAGUCGCAGCUUACAAUUAAAUCAGUGAAACCAAAGCAAAAAAUAACAGCCAAGUCUGUCUUGCAUCACACAGAACUGGAGCAUAACACAGAAUUCUUAAAAAAAAUGUGUCUACAGAAAUAUAUUACUUACCUCCCAAGAAUGGGCCACUGAUGGAAGAAGACAUCUUGGAUUACCCAUUUAGAAAAUACACAGAGACCUGAACCUAGAACUCCACUGUAAAUAAUAAAAAAUCAUUUCAAAAUGAAGACACUGGUGAAAAUAAUUAUGAUUUUUUUCCAAUCCAAAUUCAUUGGAUUCAUUUCGCAGUAAGUAUGCAAACAAUCUUAGUGUAGCAGAUUAUGAUCAUGGAUGCAGAUGAGACUUUUACUUUUCAGCUACACUUGUUUCUAAAUAAAUGAAUAUAUGUAAUUUAAAUUUAAAAAAAAAUAGUAUGUGUAAUUAAGAAUUGAAAUAAUCCCCUCUUUACACUGUACCAGUUUUACAUGAUAUUGCACAGUAUAUAAAUUAAUGAAUUUUGAAACUUAUAUCAAUUAUUAUAUACAUUCUUUUAUUUAUAAUUAUUAAUUAGCAUAUUCAUAAAUAUAGUUAAAAACCACUUUUGUGUGCCAUUGAUUUGGCAGCACUGAUGGAAAAACAAAGGACUCCCCAUACUGUAAAAUACAAUAUACAUUUAGGGCAACAUGUACCCUUAAUUUGUACAUACACAACCAUAGAUAUUUACAUUGUAAAAGGAAGUGAAAAAAAACUCAUAUUUUUUACCAUGAGUUUAUAAAUUAGAACAUCAGUUCUAAUAAACAAUAAUAGUAAUAAUAUAAGUAAAAAAAGUAAUAAAUAAUAAGUAUCAUCACAAAAAUUAAUGAUUUACAUACUAGUGUCACAUAGAAUUAAAAUCACAAGAAUUAUUAAUAAUGACAAGAGUAGUGUUGAGUUUAGAAAAACUGUCAUGAUUUCAUCUUUGGAAUGUUAUCUCAAGGUCACGAAGCAAAAAGCACAAAGAUUUUUCACUUCACUGCAGAAAUUGGUAGGGAGUAGUCUAAAAUUAUUUCUAGGUUGAUUAUUAACAUUAUACAAUAACUAAAAGUAUUCCUGACACAUUUGUUUACCUGUAAAAGUAGUAAGAAUAUGGGAGUACAUUCUUUAGGUUCUCCUUUAAAUAUAGGUAAUCUUUUUCACUCCAAACUUCUUGCAAACAUACUAUAUUAUGUUCGCUUUUUAAUAAGUAUGUAGAUAUAGCUUCAUAUCUUUCUUUCUUAUUCUUAGACACCACUGGUAUACCCCUUAAAAGUAACAUUAAAUUAAUAAUAAAGGUUUAUUGUAUAGGCUAAGCUCUCUUUAUCUUAUCCUGCCCUUCUCCCAGUUACCUGGGGUUGGCGCAACAUGUUUUCUCCUUCCAUACUCUUCUAUCAUAUACCAUUUCUUCGCUCACUCCCCUCUUACCCAUAUCAUCUUUCACGCAAUCCAUCCAUUUCUUCUUAGGUCUACCUCUUCCUCUAUAUCCUUCCAUACUCAUAGUUAACAUUUUCUUACCAACCUCAUUUUCAUUUCGUCUCAUCACAUGUCCAUACCAUCCCAAACUUGCACUUCUCAGCUUCUCUGUCACAGGUGCCGCUUUCAGACUUCCUCUAACAUAUUCAUUCCGUAUUCUAUCUACUACUACUAUCUUUAGUAUGGUAUGUCAUCAUCAUCAUCAUCAUCAGCCUUUAUCUGCCCACUGCUGGACAUAGGCCUUCCCCAAGGCCUAUGGUAUGUACCAUUACAAAAAUAAAUACUGUUUUUUACUUAAUUCUAACAUUCAUUGAUUAAGAAAAGUUAUUUUAGAUUUGUUUCUUUGGCCAUAUAUAUUUUUAAUACAAUUUAAGAUUACUUAAUAAACAUAUCACACUACCAUGACUGAAUUACUUCCGAAUAUGAUAUUAUAUUACCAACAAUUCAGUUAAUAUACACUUACCAACAGUUCAAGGUGAAAAUAUUGAGUGUGAAUUCCAUAUCGGUAUCAAAUGAUAUGUUAUUGAUUUUCGGUAAUUAAAUUAUUUAUUACCUUUGAAGUAUGUAUAUGUGGUUUCUAAAGAAACUUAAUUUAGUUAGAUGACGACUUGUUUUUAAAUAAAAUUUAAGAUGUAUAUUAAAUGUUAAAUGCUCAGUAAAUACUCUAUAACCCAUUCAUUUUAAAAUGCAAUUAAGCUUUUGAUAACGAAAUGAUAACGCACUCUGCUAUCAAGAAAUUUGACAACAGUGCAAUGCAUAUUUAUGCUUUUUCCAUUGUAUACAUUGGAUAGAUAAAGGAGAUGUAGCCUAUUCAGCCAAAUUUUUCAAAUAAAUUAAAAAGCCAUGGCUUGCUUGAAUAUUUAACGGAACAGAUUUAAAUGAAGUGAGAUAAGACAACACCAUAGGUACUGUUACGUAAUAAAAUGAAGUAAUGGCCCGAUAAAAUGAUGGGAAUCUACUGAAGAAUGAAUGAGUCUUCCUAUUUUUCCACUUCAAAAGUAUUAACUCAUUCCUAUAAUAUGCAAUUUAUGAAAUGUAAUUUAAAUUGUAGGUGCAGACGGAGCAGCGUAACGGCAUUAGUAGAUCAAAGGAAAAAUAAAACGAAUGAAAAUCAAUGAGAUUAAAACAAGGGCUAAAAUUUUACGUCUAUUUAUUGGAAAGAAAAUUAAAUAUUAACGAGUGUAUAAUAACCGGCAAACUUCUUGAGCAUUUGUUGACGUAGUGGGGGUAAGUUUGCGCAUGGUACACUCACGUGCAAAAACAUUACUUACUCUGCGUCAUAAUGCUAUUAAAUUAUUAAAAUCAACAUAUGUAUUUAUUUAUAUAUUUAUUAGAACAUCAACAAAACAUAUAGGUUAAUAAUUGUAAUAAUUUAAUCUUGGGGUAAAAUAGAUAUUCCUUCUAUUAAGUCAAAACUAGAGCUGUUGCCAGGUCUUGGUUCAGUUGAAGCGAAGCUGGUAUUUGUAAUUUUUUUUUUUCGUUAUCAUAAUCUUGACCAUCAUCAUCACUGUUUUUAUCACCCGAGUUGCUAUCAUCAUGAUGAGUCGACAUAGGGAUCAUCGGUGUAGUUUACAACUCGGUCGGUUCGGUCUACUUUUUUGUCUAUAAUUAAUUAUUUUUUGAAGAUAUUCGAUUCGUAGUAAUCGAAUGUAACUUUUUCAAUUACCAGCUUCCGAUUAUUUUCUGUUUUUUUUCCAUCUGAAGCCUAGCUCUUUCAUAAUUCGUCGUAAACUUCAUACCGAGCCAUUAAAAUUUAUAUCUUCUUUAAAUUUUUCGAAGCCUUUCUACGGUACGGAGUUUCGCUGCUUGUUAUGUAGUUAUUAUGAUUACAUCUUUUUAUUACAGAUUGAACGAAACUAUCCAUUCCGGUAAAUUUCUUCUUCCCUGAUCUUUUCUUACCCGGAGUCCGCAACACGGCGAGCAAGCCAGAGCCUUUAGCUUCGUUAAUAAUGCACCUAACAGUACUCACUGAUGUUUUUGUUGCUUCCGAAGUCUGUUUUAAUUUUUCCAUAUCAUUCUUCACCUGUUUUAUAAUGAAGCAAUAUACGUCGUACACAAAU
This is a long non-coding RNA of Bombyx mori (domestic silkworm), 3878 nucleotides long. RefSeq lists it as uncharacterized. The transcript is spliced from 3 exons. NCBI's taxonomy places the organism in Eukaryota, Metazoa, Arthropoda, Insecta, Lepidoptera, Bombycidae. The record is from RefSeq and is a predicted model, not a curated record.